GAUGAACGCUGGCGGCGUGCCUAAUACAUGCAAGUCGAGCGAACGGACGAGAAGCUUGCUUUUCUGAUAUUAGUGGCGGACGGGUGAGUAACACGUGGAUAACCUACCUAUAAGACUGGGAUAACUUCGGGAAACCGGAGCUAAUACCGGAUAACAUUUUGAACCGCAUGGUUCAAAAGUGAAAGACGGACUUGCUGUCACAUAUAGAUGACUUCCGGCUUCUUUACCAAGUUGGUAAGGAAACGGCUUACCAAGGCAACAGUGCAUAGCCGACCGGAGGGGGUGAUCGGCCACACUGGAACUGAGCCACGCUCCGGACUCCUACGGGAGGCGGCAUUAGGGAAUCUUCGGCAAUGGGCGAAAGCCUGACGGAGCAACGCCGCGUGAGGAAGGAAGGUCUUCGGAUCGUAAGACUCUGUUAUUGGGGAGGAACAUAUGUGUAAGUAACUGUGCACAUCUUGACGGUACCUAAUCAGAAAGCCACGGCUAACUACGUG
Molecule: ribosomal RNA, 497 nt
Filed under: uncultured bacterium
Lineage: Bacteria
Description: partial 16S ribosomal RNA
Rfam family: Bacterial small subunit ribosomal RNA
Source: RNAcentral